AGGGCAGACGGUGGAUGCCUUGGCUCUCGGAGGCGACGAAGGACGUGAUAAGCUGCGAAAAGCCCGGGGGAGGCGCAAAUAGCCCUUGAUCCCGGGAUAUCCGAAUGGGGCAACCCGGCAGGCUGAAGGCCUGUCAUCCCGUAAGGGAGGCGAACGUGGGGAACUGAAACAUCUAAGUACCCAUAGGAGGAGAAAAUAAACAAUGAUUCCGUAAGUAGUGGCGAGCGAACACGGAAGAGCCCAAACCCAUGUCGUCUAGGCGACACGGGGGUUGUAGGACCACGACGUGGCAAGAAGGAAGGGAAAUGGAACGACUUGGAAAAGUCGGCCAUAGACGGUGAAAGCCCGGUACAUGACUCCCUUACGAAGCCUAGUGGUAUCCUGAGUAGCGCGGGGCACGAGAAAUCUUGCGUGAAUUAGCGGGGCCCAUCCCGUAAGGCUAAAUACUCCCGAGAGACCGAUAGCGAACCAGUACCGUGAGGGAAAGGUGAAAAGAACCCCGAGCAGGGGAGUGAAAUAGACCCUGAACCCGUCUGCCUACAAGCGGUCGGAGCGUCGUAAUGACGUGACGGCGUGCCUUUUGCAUAAUGAACCUACGAGUUACCUUCCCCGGCAAGGUUAAGUUCUUGAGGAACGGAGCCGAAGCGAAAGCGAGUCUGAACAGGGCGCCAAGUCGGGGGGGGUAGACGCGAAACCGAGUGAUCUACCCUUGGCCAGGUUGAAGGUUGGGUAACACCAACUGGAGGACCGGAUGGGUAAGCGUUGAAAAGCUUUCCAAUGAGCUGAGGGUAGGGGUGAAAGGCUAAUCAAACUCGGAGAUAGCUCGUACUCCCCGAAAUGCAUUUAGGUGCAGCCUCUUUAUAGUAUAUCGUGAGGUAGAGCGACUGAUUGGAUGCGAGGGCUUCACCGCCUAUCAAGUCCAGAUAAACUCCGAAUGCGCGAUAUAUAUUUACAGGGAGUGAGGGCGCGGGUGCUAAGGUCCGUGUCCGAGAGGAGAAGAAUCCAGACCACCGGCUAAGGCCCCCAAAUGAUCGUUAAGUUGAACUAACGAGGUCGGAUCGCAGAGACAGCUAGGAUGUUGGCUUGGAAGCAGCCAUUCAUUUAAAGAGUGCGUAACAGCUCACUAGUCGAGCGAUCUGGCGUGGAUAAUAAUCGGGCAUAAACGAUCUGCCGAAGCCGUGGAUGUCGCAAGACAUGGUAGGGGAGCAUUCCAUGCCGCGUCGAAGAUGAGGGAUGACCCUUGUUGGAGCGCAUGGAAAAGCAAAUGUAGGUAUGAGUAACGAUAAGGGGGGCGAGAAACCCCCCCGCCGAAAGACCAAGGUUUCCUGAUCAACGCUAAUCGGAUCAGGGUGAGUCGGGACCUAAGGCAAAGCCGAACGGCGCCGCCGAUGGAAGAAUGGGUUAAUAUUCCCAUACUGCCUCAUGGAGUGACGUGGAGACGGAGAAGUGACAGUCCUGCCGGCUGACGGAAUAGCCGGUUGAAGGGUGUAGAUAUUGAUUCCCGUAGGCAAAUCCGCGGGGAGAGUCGAACCUGAGAGUAUACGGAGCGCUUGCGCAACGUAAUAUGGACGUAACCAUGCUCCCGAGAAAAUCCGCUAAACUUAUCCAUGCGGCACCCGUACCGUAAACGGACACACGUGGUCGGGUUGAGAAUACUGAGGCGCUCGAGUGAUUCACGGUUAAGGAACUAGGCAAAUUGACCCUGUAACUUCGGGAUAAAGGGUCCUCGUCGUAAGGCGAGGCGCAGAGAAUAGGUCCAGGCAACUGUUUAACAAAAACACAUGGCUGUGCGAAAUGGAAACAUGAGGUAUACAGCCUGACACCUGCCCGGUGCCGGAAGGUUAAGAGGAGAUGUCAUCCGCGAGGAGAAGCGUUGAAUUGAAGCCCCGGUAAACGGCGGCCGUAACUAUAACGGUCCUAAGGUAGCGAAAUUCCUUGUCGGGUAAGUUCCGACCUGCACGAAUGGUGUAAUGAUCUGGACACUGUCUCAACCGUGAGCUCGGUGAAAUUGUAGUAUCGGUGAAGAUGCCGAUUACCCGCGAUGGGACGAAAAGACCCCGUGAACCUUUACUAUAGCUUUACAUUGAGUUUGGGCAGACGAUGUGUAGGAUAGGCCGGAGGCUUUGAAGCAGGUACGCCAGUAUUUGUGGAGCCGACGUUGAAAUACGGCCCUUCGGUUGUUUGAGUUCUAACUCCUAGUUAGGAGGACACUGUAUGGUGGGUAGUUUGACUGGGGGUGGUCGCCUCCAAAAGCGUAACGGAGGCUUCUAAAGGUGCCCUCAGACCGAUUGGUAACCGGUCGUAAAGUGUAAUGGCAUAAGGGCGCUUGACUGGGAGACAUACAAGUCGAUCAGGUAGGAAACUAGAGCAUAGUGAUCCGGUGGUUCCGCAUGGGAGGGCCAUCGCUCCAAGGAUAAAAGGGACUCCGGGGAUAACAGGCUGAUCAUUCCCAAGAGCUCAUAUCCACGGAAUGGUUUGGCCCCUCCAAGUCCGCUCCUCACUUCCUGGGGCUGGAGAAGGUCCCAAGGGUUGGGCCUUUCCCCCCUUAAAAUGGCACCC
RNAcentral lists this ribosomal RNA (2559 nucleotides) under human gut metagenome. Its description in RNAcentral is "bacterial LSU rRNA". It matches the Rfam family "Bacterial large subunit ribosomal RNA", at positions 14 to 2601 of the family's 2925-position model. The record is from RNAcentral.